GGGCCUGCUUGGAGGCGGCACAUUUCAAGACGUCCCUUGAGGCACAGGAGAACACCUCUAGGGGCACAGGAGGAUAACUGCAUCCCCUCAGCUGAGACCCCAAAGGCUGAGAAUACAUGAUAGAGGCUUAAUUUCCUUGUAUCCCAAGAGAGGAGCCAGACCACACAUACAGGAUAUGCCAAGAAGCAGAAAACAUAUCCAGAGACAGCAUUGAAUGAUUGGAUGAAUGAAAGCUUGGACCAGAAAGAACAGCUUGGCAUCCCUCUUCUCUCUCGUUGAAUGCAGGACUCUGACUACUUGGUAGUCAGCCGCUGGUCAGUCCAGUCUCUGCCUUGGGAGAGCUGCUAGCCGCAGAGAACUCCUCUUUUCUCUGGCUGCCCACACGGAGGAGGGGACUUCCA
Molecule: long non-coding RNA, 401 nt
Filed under: Bos indicus x Bos taurus (hybrid cattle)
Lineage: Eukaryota; Metazoa; Chordata; Mammalia; Artiodactyla; Bovidae
Description: lncRNA (ENSBIXG00005000235.1)
Source: RNAcentral